CCUACGGGAGGCAGCAGUGGGGAAUAUUGGUCAAUGGGGGAAAGCCUGAUCCAGCCAAGCCGCGUGAGUGAAGAAGUAACUCGUUAUGUUAAGCCUCUUUUGUAGGGAAGCAAAUGAUGGGACGUGAGGAAGUAGCCACGUCCAACAACGAGCCAGCAGCGCUGGUAACACGCAGGGAGCAAGCGUUAUCCGGAUUUACUGGGCGUUAAGGGAGCGUAGGCGGUUUGACAAGUCUGAAGUGAAAUCCCGCGGCUGAACUGGGGAACUGCUGCAGAAACUGGAGAACUUGAGUGCGGGAGAGGAAAGCGGAAUUCCAGGUGUAGCGGUGAAAUGCGUAGAUAUAAGGAAGAACACCGGUGGCGAAGGCGGCCUGCUGGACCGUAACUGACGUUGAGGCUCGAAAGCGUGGGUAGCGAACAGGAUUAGAUACCCGAGUAGUC
This 440-nucleotide ribosomal RNA is filed under the name uncultured bacterium. Its description in RNAcentral is "partial 16S ribosomal RNA". It matches the Rfam family "Bacterial small subunit ribosomal RNA", at positions 338 to 795 of the family's 1533-position model. The record is from RNAcentral.